GGGGAAUAUUGGACAAUGGGCGCAAGCCUGAUCCAGCCAUGCCGCGUGUGUGAAGAAGGCCCUCGGGUUGUAAAGCACUUUCAGUGGGGAAGAAAGCCUGGUGGUUAAUACCCGUCAGGAAGGACAUCACCCACAGAAGAAGCACCGGCUAACUCCGUGCCAGCAGCCGCGGUAAUACGGAGGGUGCGAGCGUUAAUCGGAAUUACUGGGCGUAAAGCGCGCGUAGGUGGCUUGAUAAGCCGGUUGUGAAAGCCCCGGGCUCAACCUGGGAACGGCAUCCGGAACUGUCAGGCUAGAGUGCAGGAGAGGAAGGUAGAAUUCCCGGUGUAGCGGUGAAAUGCGUAGAGAUCGGGAGGAAUACCAGUGGCGAAGGCGGCCUUCUGGACUGACACUGACACUGAGGUGCGAAAGCGUGGGUAGCAAAC
Molecule: ribosomal RNA, 425 nt
Filed under: uncultured bacterium
Lineage: Bacteria
Description: bacterial SSU rRNA
Rfam family: Bacterial small subunit ribosomal RNA
Source: RNAcentral